RNAcentral lists this ribosomal RNA (442 nucleotides) under uncultured bacterium. RNAcentral's name for it is "partial 16S ribosomal RNA". It matches the Rfam family "Bacterial small subunit ribosomal RNA", at positions 338 to 795 of the family's 1533-position model. The record is from RNAcentral.
CCUACGGUGGGCAGCAGUGGGGAAUCUUGCGCAAUGGCCGAAAGGCUGACGCAGCGACGCCGCGUGUGGGAUGACGGUCUUCGGAUUGUAAACCACUGUCGGGAGGGACGAAGUUCUGACGGUACCUCCAAAGGAAGCACCGGCUAACUCUGUGCCAGCAGCCGCGGUAAUACAGCGGGUGCGCGCGUUGUCCGGAAUCACUGGGCGUAAAGGGCGCGUAGGCGGCCUGGUAAGUCGGGGGUGAAACGCUGCGGCUCAACCGCAGCACUGCCUUCGAGACUGUCAGGCUUGAGCACGGUAGAGGCUGGUGGAAUUCCCGGUGUAGCGGUGAAAUGCGUAGAGGUCGGGAAGAACAUCGGUGGCGAAGGCGGCCAGCUGGGCCGUUGCUGACGCUGAGGCGCGACAGCGUGGGGAGCAAACAGGAUUAGAUACCCGAGUAGUC